Molecule: ribosomal RNA, 449 nt
Filed under: uncultured bacterium
Lineage: Bacteria
Description: partial 16S ribosomal RNA
Rfam family: Bacterial small subunit ribosomal RNA
Source: RNAcentral
AACGAACGCUGGCGGCAUGCCUAACACAUGCAAGUCGAACGAGACCUUCGGGUCUAGUGGCGCACGGGUGCGUAACGCGUGGGAAUCUGCCCUGGGGUGCGGAAUAACUCGGAGAAAUCCGUGCUAAUACCGCAUAAUGUCUUUGGCCCAAAGAUUUAUCGCCCUGGGAUGAGCCCGCGUAAGAUUAGCUAGUUGGUGGGGUAAAGGCCUACCAAUGCGACGAUCUUUAGCUGGGCUGAGAGGAUGAUCAGCCGUACUGGUACUGAGACACGGCCCAGACUCCUACGGGAGUCAGCAGUUGGGAAUAUUGGACAAUGGGCGAAAGCCUGAGCCAGCAAUGCCGCGUGAGUGAUGAAGGCCUUAGGGUUGUAAAGCUCUUUUACCCGGGAUGAUAAUGACAGUACCGGGAGAAUAAGCUCCGGCUAACUCCGUGCCAGCAGCCGCCGCCG